RNAcentral lists this non-coding RNA (102 nucleotides) under Geotalea uraniireducens. Its description in RNAcentral is "Geobacter uraniireducens SAM-I sequence". It matches the Rfam family "SAM riboswitch aptamer (S box leader)". From Rfam's summary of the family: The SAM riboswitch is found upstream of a number of genes which code for proteins involved in methionine or cysteine biosynthesis in Gram-positive bacteria. The SAM riboswitch acts at the level of transcription termination control. Lineage: Bacteria; Pseudomonadati; Thermodesulfobacteriota; Desulfuromonadia; Geobacterales; Geobacteraceae. The record is from RNAcentral. RNAcentral also lists the same sequence under 1 other name.
UGCUUAUCAAGAGUGGUGGAGGGAAAGGCCCUGUGAAACCACAGCAACCGGUUCGGCAACGAGCGCCAGGUGCUAAAUCCUGCCGAAUGGCAAAGAUGAGAG